Molecule: long non-coding RNA, 1158 nt
Organism: Clarias gariepinus (North African catfish)
Lineage: Eukaryota; Metazoa; Chordata; Actinopteri; Siluriformes; Clariidae
Exons: 4
Source: RefSeq, a predicted model, not a curated record
CCAAACAAACUGAAGAUUGUACCUGCAGGUGAAAUACAGGAGUCUGUGCUCCUUAUCAGUUUCUAUUUCUCAAGUGUGACAUCACAACAUCCGGAAGGGAGGAGGAGGAUACUUUUCUGUUAGAGGUUAAAUAGUCACAGCUGAACAACUAUACUUGAGAGUUGAGACAUUCGAGAAUCACAGUUUGGUUUCUAAAGACUAAAUUGUUCGUACAUAUCACUUCCUUCAAAGCAGCGAUGGCAGGCAAACCAGAAUUCCUAAAGCUCAUCGAGCAGCUGCAGCAGUUAAGUCUGGAUGUAGAGCAGAUGGAUGUGGAGGUAUGCUGUCUGUCUAGCUUUCUUUUAAACUGUCAUUUUCUAAAUUGAAAUAAAUAAAUGCCAUAUUAUGAAAUGAAAUUCCUGUUUGUUUUAACCAUCUCUCUCUCUCUCUCUCUCUCUCUCUCACUCACUCACUAUCUCAUCAUGAGUGGGCUUCCUCUUCCUUUUCUCUCCUUCCGUUCUUUCAAUCUCUCUCUCUCCCUCUCUUCCCUAACUCUCCUUCCCUUACCCCCCCUUACCCCCCCCCCCCACCAAAACAUCCAUUGAACUGUACUGAGCUUGAACUCAAGUCACAAAUAUCUGAAAGAAAACAUGAAUUCACUCUGCAGCGAUCGUGGUUGACUGAAGUGGGGUCCCUUACUUUCCCCUUCCUCCCAUUCACACUACUCUAGUGUUCUGACUCUUUUAUACCUCCACUGAGGAGAUUCAGAGAUUCGCAGUAUGCUGCAGCAGCUAAGCAAGCCUGAACAGGCCUUUGAUGAACCAUCCAUGUGGUGAAAAAGAAAAAAGCAACAAUGACUAAGUGGACUCUUUCUUUUAUUUUUCUAUAUUAUAAACUUAAUAAAUUGUUAACUUGCUUUUUAAAACUAUAUAUAUAUAUAUAUAUAAUCACUUUUUUUUAUACUCACAUUAUGUACUUGUUUACUCAGAUGCCACAUGUUGACAUCUGUGAUAUCAGUGAACUUCUCCAGAGGAUAAAUCUGGGAGAAGAAAAUAUGGAUUUGGAUGUGGAAGUGGAUGUAGAGGAGAUGGAUGUGGAAGUGGAUGUAGAGGAGAUGGAUAUCGAUGUCACUAUGGAGAAGGUGGACGAGGUAAACAGGGUCUACUCUUUGCAUAGUAU